This 459-nucleotide ribosomal RNA is filed under the name uncultured bacterium. RNAcentral describes it as "partial 16S ribosomal RNA". It matches the Rfam family "Bacterial small subunit ribosomal RNA", at positions 338 to 795 of the family's 1533-position model. The record is from RNAcentral.
CCUACGGGUGGCAGCAGUGAGGAAUCUUGGUCAAUGGACGAGAGUCUGAACCAGCCAAGUAGCGUGAAGGAUGACUGCCCUCUGGGUUGUAAACUUCUUUUAUAUGGGAAUAAAAUGUUCCACGUGUGGGAUUUUGUAUGUACCAUAUGAAUACGGAUCGGCUAACUCCGUGCCAGCAGCCGCGGUAAUACGGAGGAUCCGAGCGUUGUCCGGAUUGAUUGGGUUAAAGGGGAGCGUGGUGGGAUUUUAAAGUCAGUUGUGAAAGUUUGCGGCUAAACGGUAAAAUUGAAGGUGAAACGGCAGUCUUGAGUACAGUAGAGGUGGGCGGAAUUCGUGGUGUAGCGGUGAAAUGCUUAGAUAUCACGAAGAACUCCGAUUGCGAAGGCAGCUCACUGGACUGCAACUGACACUGAGGCUCGAAAGUGUGGGUAUCAAACAGGAUUAGAUACCCCAGUAGUC